AUACGUAGGGGGCGAGCGUUGUCCGGAAUGAUUGGGCGUAAAGGGCGCGUAGGCGGCCCGGUAAGUCUGGAGUGAAAGUCCUGUUUUUAAGAUGGGAAUUGCUUUGGAUACUGUCGGGCUUGAGUGCAGGAGAGGUAAGUGGAAUUCCCAGUGUAGCGGUGAAAUGCGUAGAUAUAUGGAGGAAAACCAGUGGCGAAGGCGGCUCUCUGGUCUGUAACUGACGCUGAGGCUCGAAAGCGUGGGGAGCAAACAGGAUUAGAUACCCUGGUAGUCCACGCCGUAAACGAUGAGUGCUAAGUGUUGGAGGGUUUCCGCCCUUCAGUGCUGCAGCUAACGCAUUAAGCACUCCGCCUGGGGAGUACGGCCGCAAGGCUGAAACUCAAAGGAAUUGACGGGG
Molecule: ribosomal RNA, 397 nt
Filed under: uncultured bacterium
Lineage: Bacteria
Description: partial 16S ribosomal RNA
Rfam family: Bacterial small subunit ribosomal RNA
Source: RNAcentral